This is a long non-coding RNA of Hyla sarda, 1629 nucleotides long. RefSeq lists it as uncharacterized. The record is from RefSeq and is a predicted model, not a curated record. NCBI's taxonomy places the organism in Eukaryota, Metazoa, Chordata, Amphibia, Anura, Hylidae. The transcript is spliced from 3 exons.
GGAGCCAGUUGAUUAUAUAUAUAAAAAGUUUUUUCCUUGAUAACCCCUUUAAUGAUUAAACUGUAUAUAUUCAGUUGUAUAAUUUUAUUGGAAACAGCACCAAUCUUUCCAGAUCUCCCGAAUCUUAUAUCAUACAUUUCCUAUAGUCCACGUGCUGCAGAUUUGGUAGGGUUGGGCAAUUCUUCACCUAUUAAUCACCUAUAGAAUUUUGGCCAAAGUCCCAUUCAAUUAUUCUCAUGUUGCAGCAUUACUUGGCUUAUCUGCCUGUCAGGAAAGCUGAAAUGUUGUAGCUUUGGCACCCAACUUUCCAGGAGUUCUGUUUCCUGUUAUGAUGUAAUACAUAAUUUUUCUUCUCAUAUUGUAGAAUUACUAAGCAGAUCCUGGGCACCAGAUCCUGUUAGUGUUUUAUAAACGAAAACAUAAUUCUCUGGUGCGGCAAGCAACAAAAGGGAGGGAGGUGGACUUAAAAAUCGUUCAUUAUUGUGUUCAUUAAUUGUAUUUCUUAUCAAAGUUAAUUAGAAAAAUUUGCAACAAUUCCGAAACAAUUCAUGUGACCAUGUGAAUAUGCCCUCAUUUACUAAGAGUAGACUGUCUGUUUGUGUUUGACUUUUGCUUUUCGGACCUUUUUUUUCUCUUGGUAUUUACUAAUCUGUCGCACUUUUCCCAAUCUUUUUAGUUGCAGGGAAAAAAUCUGCUGCAAUUGCUGUUGCUGGAUUCACCUGUCACAUGUAUAGUCAGAUGCUAUUGAUGACGACCUCCUAUAGGAAGACACAUCAGUGCCUGGUUGUGUUCACACUGUCAUCACGCUUAUGGAUGCUUUAUCAGCAGUUGUAUAGCCUGCGGUACUAUUCUUGUUGUCGAAGUGAUUACACCCCCUCACAAACCUCUAUGUAAGUCAAUGGGGUCCAUCAGGGUCCAUUAAUCUUAUUUAAUACGGAAAUGACAAAGCACUGUGUUGGAGUGUUGGCAUAUUAUGCUUUAAAUAUUGAAAUAUUAAAUAUACUGUUGGCGAUUUCAGGGACUGGCAUAUGACUGCACUAGUGUUGUUAGUGCUUGUGUUCAGUUCUCACGUUGAUCAUUUGCAGUCUCCAUGAAACCAAAGCAGCAUGUGACGCUGUGACAAGGCCGUCACCGGUGCCUCCUGACCCGGGCUGACAGCUGGCACCUCUCCUAUUGGGGGAUUGUUGGCGUGUCAAUCACUGCGAUGUGUAGGGAACAAUGAAAGUGUCAAAGAACAAAACUGAGCCGCAGACAGAAUGCGAAAACCUCCCUGUCCCUUCCACCCCCCUCUAUUGACUCAGUCUGCUACUCUGUCUAUCUUAUGUUCAUGUAUAUCCGUGAGUAUAUUGUACAUGCAUAUGGGAGGGGUUCAGGACCCCAACGUACAGAGAAUUGCAGAAAGAUUACGUAAUAGACAGUGGAUAGAUAGGCAAGAACUACAAAUAUACAUGGUCCAUGAAUGGGGAGAUGUGAUGGUUAGGGCAACAUUAUCCUGAACAUAUGAUUAUAUGCUUUAUAUAUCUAUAUGGCAAAUGUCUGUGGGCCAUAUAUAUUAAUUGACUCAACACAGUGAGGAUAAUAGUCUGGCACCGCCAAUAUAGAUCACUGAGAAAAUCCAUAUAUUAAUAU